CGGUGAUCUGAGUAAUGUAACUGAACCAAGCUCCCGUAUGUUGCAUCUUUUUGCAGCCAGGCUUGUUUUGACAGCACCCAACACCCCUGUAGCUACCCUGAAGUACCUGAAGAUAACAUUUCUCUUCUUCGAAGGAGGACAUAGCACUAUCUAACAUGGAAUGGAGCGACUUGAAGAGAGAAAACAGGACAGAGAGCAAUGGGUGCACCAUUAAGAAAUAGCCUCUAAACUACAUCUGACAAUAGCCAAGAUUGCACCUGAACCCAAUUCAUCGAGGUAAAGUGGCCAUUUGAGGAGAUGUGGUAGGGAAUUGGUGAUCCUGGAUUGAGAUAGGGGAAUACAGAGAGUGGUGUCAAAUGCUGCCAGUUUGUCGAAGCUGCUGGAGACUCAGAAAUAUGCACAAGGUGUCCUCUGGCAUCAAUAUUCGAUGACAAUGGACUCAUAGGAGUGUUUCCUUUUUAAAAGACAGUGGAGACAUGGUGGCAACAUUAGUUACAGGACUUUCCUCCAUGAGACUAAGGUGCAGUGGAGACAGACAGGAAAGGAGGGAGAAGAGUUGGGGGAAGACAUGCAGCAAAGGGCCGUGAGCAGGAAUCGAACUCAGGCCACUGCGUCAGGGACCAGCCCCUGUGCAUGGGUCGCCCGCUUAACCCGUUGAACUAUCCUGGUGCCAUUCAGAGAGAAAUUCUAACAUGUCCUCAAACCUAAACAGCAGAAACAGUAGACCAUCACUGACUCCCAGAACGACAUAUACAAGUGCAAAAAUCUGCACACAUUUUUGCAGUUGAGGUGUUAUACAGACCAACAAAGCCUGCAUUUGGAGGAGGUUUUAGCAUAAGGCAAUCACAGGACAUUCACUCAGGUGAGGGGUUGUGUUCAAAGAUUGUGCAUGCACUUAUUCAUGUGAUUGCAGGAGAUUUCCUUGAAGUCAACCAGUAUUGUUUUUGUUUUUCUGGUCCAGUCAGGCUGAACAAUAGAUACAUUGCAAGUGAAUGCAAAAUUCUUUAACAUGAUUUAUGAUGGGCUGCACAGUGGCUUGACUAGCACCGUUGCCUCAGAGCUAGAAGAUCCCUGAUUCGCAAUCUUGGUUUGGGACUGGAACCAGGCCGGGACUGAUUUAGGGCUUUCGCUGGGAUAGGUUCCAGUCCUCCCACGACCUUAAUGAGGAUUAUGCGAUGUAUAGAUAACGGAUGGAUGUUUUAUGAUAAAGGUUUAAUUGUAGCUCAGACAACAAUCCACACUCAAAAAGUGACCCACAAAUGCAAUGCAGCACAUAUUCAGUGUAGUGGAAUCUGUCCACUUCACAGAAGUUUUAUUAAGGUCUAAGAUUUGAUAACAAUUUUUAGCGAAAUAUUAGGGUUUUAGCAAAUUUUUAAGUGUUUAUUUAAGGUUAAGGGACCUUUCUGUGUAAUGGUUUUAACAAUAAGCAUCACAUAAAAGUUUAGGAACAAUUGUGGUCAAGGAAUUGUUGAUUGAUGGUAGGUGAAAAAUUGAAUAACAAUCUGGAAUAUGUUAAUUGGAUGUAGUGUUCCAUUUGGAGGACUUUGCUGAAUCGCCUGUCACUUUCGUUUGGAGGACAGUUUACUAGUGUCAGUAUGCUGAGUUGAGACAAAAUAAGAUAAAGAGCAAAAAUAAUAAAAUGCUUUUUCUGUACUUGGUGAUUACAGUCAAGAAAUUCCUGAGACAUGCUACAUUUGGAACCACUAUAAUUACCUCACACUUCGAGGAUUUCAUGUCUUUUGUCAAAUUCCAAACAAGAUUGUGAUGCAUGGUGUUUGUUGCCCACCACCAUUUCCCAUGCUCCCCCAUGGCUCACUUACUAUACUUUAACUUGAAUACAGAGAAAUUUGCAUCCUCUGCUGCAGCAUAGUUUGUAUAUACCUGCAUCUGAAAAGAAUAUAUAUAUGAUUAAAGGAUGUGGAAAAUUAUAUGGCAGGCUUUGAAACUUUUCUCCCCAAUUCUUUCUUUUUGCUUCACCCCUUCAUCAUUCCUCAUGUUUAUUUGGCACUCUACGUUGCUCUGUGCCACCCCAGUUCUUGGCGGUAGCCCUGCUCGCUGUCUCACCCAUCUGUUUCCAUUCAUUAGGACAGGAUUCGCUUCUCUGCUCUUCUGACACCUUUUCACAUCGGGCUGCACAAUGUAAUUAAACAGGGUUGUGGGGGGAUGAUUGUUGAGCUGCAGCUACCUCUUUCGUCUUCCAUCUACUUUGACUCUGCCUCAUUUGUUCUCGGAGGGUUGAGCUUGCUCUGUUUUACUUUGUUGGCUGUUUGUAGUGUGUCUGUUUGUAGUGUGUCCAUCUCUGUAGGUGGCACACCUUUUGCAUCAUAGACACAUGGUCUAGUUCUCCACAGUUGCACUUUUUAAGGCCAUUUGCAUUUCAGUUUAUAGAAAGCAAGCCUAUAGUGGACUUGCUGUACAGGUUAAAUGAUGAUGAUAUUGUAUCAGCUCAGUUUAAAGUCCAGCAUUUUAUUUCCCAUGAGAAAAAAAGUCACUUUUAUAAUAUGUGUUGACAGAUUAACACAACAUUUGUGAUUGCAUGUAUGAUUGGAUCUCUCACUUGUUAAAUUCAAAUGUGUGACCACUGCAAUGUAUAAUGAUAUUGGAUAUGUCCUUUCUAUCAAUCCAUACAGAAGUGAGAAAAAUAUUAUGGGUUUAGUCGUUGCAUUGUGCAGUUUGCCUGGUAUCCACACAUUUAUUUUUUCUUCCGGUAUAAAUUACAUUGUCACUUACAGACUGAUUAUUUAGUGUUGGGGAUAAUUGAUGCAUCCAUUAAGUGCUUUGACAGUAUAGAGGCUCAUUAACACACAUAUACGUAUGAUGCACCCACACAGAUGUUUUCAGUUAUUAGAUCUUGAAUUAUUCUGCCUGAUUAUAGCGCUGCUCGUUACUUUGUGGGUGUGUGCAAAUUUUUCUGGUUCAUUUUGCUGUAGAACUCUGUUUGUUUACUUUGCAUUGACAGCUGAUAUAACUGAGGUGUGACUACCAGCUGUGCAAUGUUGGCAACUGGCCCACAAGAGCUGCGCAUUCACUGUGUAGCAGUGCUGAAGUAACUUUGUUUCAGAACAUGAGAAUAUGCACUAACAAAGUACAUUUACUUUAUUGUACAUAUUCAAGUGCGGGGCUGCACAGUGGUUCAGUGGUUAGCAUUGUUGCCUCACAGCUAGAAAAUCCCCGGUUCACAUCCCGGCCUGAGCCUGGGAUCUUUCUGCAUGGAGUUUGCCUCUUCUCCCUGUGCAUGUGUUGGUUUCCUCCCACAGUCUAAAAACAUGCUUUGGUUAAUUGGUGAUUCUAAAUUGUUUGUAGGUGUGAAUGUGAGUGUCAUUGUUUGUCUCUAUGUGUAGUCCUGUGAUAGACUGGUGACCUGUCAAGGUGUCCCAGUCAGCUGGGAUAGGCUCCAGCCCCCCAGCGACUCUAAUGAGGAUUAAGCAGUGUAAAUAUCAAUGGAUGGAUGGUUGUUCAAGUGUAAAAUACAGUGGAUUCUUACUUUAUUAUCUCAUUUUGAGAACAUGUUUUGAAGAGCGACCUUGUGUCAAAAUAAAGUUCUAAACCUUCAUUAUUCAAGCAAAAACUGUGCUCAAGUGGUUCACAUUCCCAAACUGAUGUGUGUAUUUCAGCUUUGAGGAUCUAUACACAAUACUUAGAAGAUAAGUGUAGGGAGGUUUAUGAGACCCACAACCAUUUUUUGCUCCAGGCUACUUGCAAUUUUUGUCAUGGAUGCAAAUCUACAUACGGUUUUAUGCUGAUGGUAUCUGACUGCAAAAUGUUUUUCCACUUGACAUGAUUUAUUUUGAAAAAAUAAAGAAAGGCUCAUGUUGAAGUUAGAA
This is a long non-coding RNA of Amphiprion ocellaris (clown anemonefish), 3824 nucleotides long. RefSeq lists it as uncharacterized. NCBI's taxonomy places the organism in Eukaryota, Metazoa, Chordata, Actinopteri, Pomacentridae. The transcript has 4 exons. The record is from RefSeq and is a predicted model, not a curated record.